This 303-nucleotide ribosomal RNA is filed under the name uncultured bacterium. RNAcentral's name for it is "partial 16S ribosomal RNA". It matches the Rfam family "Bacterial small subunit ribosomal RNA", at positions 507 to 807 of the family's 1533-position model. The record is from RNAcentral.
AGCAGCCGCCGCGGUAAUACGGAGGGUGCAAGCGUUAAUCGGAAUUACUGGGCGUAAAGCGCACGCAGGCGGUCUGUCAAGUCGGAUGUGAAAUCCCCGGGCUCAACCUGGGAACUGCAUUCGAAACUGGCAGGCUAGAGUCUUGUAGAGGGGGGUAGAAUUCCAGGUGUAGCGGUGAAAUGCGUAGAGAUCUGGAGGAAUACCGGUGGCGAAGGCGGCCCCCUGGACAAAGACUGACGCUCAGGUGCGAAAGCGUGGGGAGCAAACAGGAUUAGAUACCCCUGUAGUCCCUGUCUCUUAUAC